RNAcentral lists this ribosomal RNA (253 nucleotides) under uncultured bacterium. RNAcentral's name for it is "partial 16S ribosomal RNA". It matches the Rfam family "Bacterial small subunit ribosomal RNA", at positions 524 to 776 of the family's 1533-position model. The record is from RNAcentral.
UACGUAGGCAGCGAGCGUUGUUCGGAAUUACUGGGCGUAAAGGGCGCGUAGGCGGCCUUCUAAGUCAGACGUGAAAUCCCCCGGCUUAACCGAGGAAUUGCGCCCAAAACUACUGUGCUCGAGGGAGAUAGAGGUGAGCGGAACUUAGGGUGGAGCGGUGAAAUGCGUUGAUAUCCUAAGGAACACCGGUGGCGAAAGCGGCUCACUGGAUCUCUUCUGACGCUGAGGCACGAAAGCUAGGGUAGCAAACGGG